GGGUUGUGAGGUUAAGCGACUAAGCGUACACGGUGGAUGCCCUGGCAGUCAGAGGCGAUGAAGGACGUGCUAAUCUGCGAUAAGCGUCGGUAAGGUGAUAUGAACCGUUAUAACCGGCGAUUUCCGAAUGGGGAAACCCAGUGUGAUUCGUCACACUAUCAUUAACUGAAUCCAUAGGUUAAUGAGGCGAACCGGGGGAACUGAAACAUCUAAGUACCCCGAGGAAAAGAAAUCAACCGAGAUUCCCCCAGUAGCGGCGAGCGAACGGGGAGCAGCCCAGAGCCUGAAUCAGUGUGUGUGUUAGUGGAAGCGUCUGGAAAGGCGCGCGAUACAGGGUGACAGCCCCGUACACAAAAAUACACAU
This 364-nucleotide ribosomal RNA is filed under the name Escherichia coli. RNAcentral's name for it is "partial 23S ribosomal RNA". It matches the Rfam family "Bacterial large subunit ribosomal RNA", at positions 1 to 392 of the family's 2925-position model. The record is from RNAcentral. Lineage: Bacteria; Pseudomonadati; Pseudomonadota; Gammaproteobacteria; Enterobacterales; Enterobacteriaceae.